Canis lupus familiaris (dog) is the source of this 1199-nucleotide long non-coding RNA. RefSeq lists it as uncharacterized. The record is from RefSeq and is a predicted model, not a curated record. Lineage: Eukaryota; Metazoa; Chordata; Mammalia; Carnivora; Canidae. The transcript has 4 exons.
GGAUCGCGCCCUGGGCCAAAGGCAGGCGCCAAACCGCUGCGCCACCCAGGGAUCCCCUAAAGUAUUAUUUUUAUGUAGAGAGAGCGCAUGUGAACAGCGAGAAGUGCGGAAGAGGAGGGAGAGAGCAUCUCGAGCAGACUCUCAGAAGUACGGGGCCCAGUGCAGGGGUCGAUCCCAUGACCCCGAGAUCAGGACCCCGGCCGAAACCAAGAGUUGGACACCCAAAUGACUAAGCCAUCCAGGCGCCCCUCCUCCAUUUAUUUAAGUCUGUUGUUAGGUAUUCUUAUCGAUAAGCUUUGUGCAGUGGCAGAUCGUAGCCAAUGAGGUUUAUUCAAGGUGCGAUUAUUGCUAAAAAGGUAUUAUCAUUCAUAAUGUUGUCUAUUUGUGUUUUCCUUUUUUUUUAUAUCUAUACCGUGGGUCUUUUUUUUUUUUUUUUUAAAUAUAUCCAUGAGAGACACACAGAGAGAGAGGAAGCAGAGGCGGAGGGAGAAGCAGGCUUCAUGCAAGCAGCCCGAUGAGGGACUCGAUCCCACCACCCUGGGAUCACGCCCUGAGCCACAGGCAGAUGCUCAACCGCUGACCCGCCCGGGCGGCCCUAAGAUUUUGUUUAUUCAUCAGAGACCCAGAGGCAGCACACAGGCAGAAGGAGAAGCAGGCUCCCUGCAGGGAGCCUCACGCGGGACUCGCUUCCAGGACUCCGGGGUCAUGAUCUGAGCCAAAGGCAGGUCGAUGCUCAAGCACUGAGACACCCAGGCCUCCCUGCAAGUCCGCUUUCAAAUAACACAGUAUCCCUUCGCUGGUAGUUGGCAGAGCUGAAGCAGAUGUUGAUGCAGGACAGCUUGGCUAUGAAGAAUUCGUGGCGGGUGAGGAGGUUGGUGUUUGGAAGAACUGAUGACCAGCAUGAUGAGGAGAUUCCUCACCGUGGUGACCAGCUCAGUUUUCUAAACUGUGUUCCCUGGAUGUUAACAAGUGAUUCAAGAAGUUUCUGUGAUAUUUGAAGCCCGAGUGUCAUUGGGAGCUCAUGCUUGAAGCCUUGUCAGACAAAAGGGCUUAUCUGGGAAGUUAUGUCCUCAUGUCUCUGUCUCUCUCGAGUUCACGCCAUGGGAUCCACAAAGUUAUGUGUCCAUGUGGCGCGACUCCACCACACAGGCAAAUCUAUGCCCUUAAAUCGGAUGCAUGUGAAAUGGGAAAACAUAAUA